AGUGAACGCUGGCGGUAGGCCUAACACAUGCAAGUCGAACGGCAGCACAGGAGAGCUUGCUCUCUGGGUGGCGAGUGGCGGACGGGUGAGGAAUACAUCGGAAUCUACUCUGUCGUGGGGGAUAACGUAGGGAAACUUACGCUAAUACCGCAUACGACCUACGGGUGAAAGCAGGGGACCUUCGGGCCUUGCGCGAUGGAAUGAGCCGAUGUCGGAUUAGCUAGUUGGCGGGGUAAAGGCCCACCGAGGCGACGAUCCGUAGCUGGUCUGAGAGGAUGAUCAGCCACACUGGAACUGAGACACGGUCCAGACUCCUACGGGAGGCAGCAGUGGGGAAUAUUGGACAAUGGGCGCAAGCCUGAUCCAGCCAUACCGCGUGGGUGAAGAAGGCCUUCGGGUUGUAAAGCCCUUUUGUUUGGAAAGAAGUCCAGCUGGCUAAUACCCGGUUGGGAUGACGGUACCCAAAGAAUAAGCACCGGCUAACUUCGUGCCAGCCGCCGCCGUAA
Molecule: ribosomal RNA, 506 nt
Filed under: uncultured bacterium
Lineage: Bacteria
Description: partial 16S ribosomal RNA
Rfam family: Bacterial small subunit ribosomal RNA
Source: RNAcentral